UACACUUAGUGUAAUCUCUCGUUUUCUGGC
This 30-nucleotide non-coding RNA is filed under the name Rattus norvegicus (Norway rat). The record is from RNAcentral. Lineage: Eukaryota; Metazoa; Chordata; Mammalia; Rodentia; Muridae.